UGAGGAAUAUUGGGCAAUGCCCGCAAGGGUGACCCAGCAACGCCGCGUGGAGGAUGAAUGUCGUAAGAUUGUAAACUCCUGUUAGAGGGGAAGAAUAGUACCGGUUGGACCGGUAUAUGACUGUACCCUCAGAGAAAGCCCCGGCUAACUACGUGCCAGCAGCCGCGGCAAUACGUAGGGGGCAAGCGUUGCCCGGAUUUACUGGGUGGAAAGGGCGCGCAGGCGGGAUAAAAAGUCAGUUGUGAAAUCCUACAGCUUAACUGGAGAACUGCCUUUGAUACUUUUAGUCUUGAGUUCGGGAGAGAGAGACGGAAUUCCAGGUGUAGUGGUGAAAUACGUAGAUAUCUGGAAGAACACCAGUUGCGAAGGCGGUCUCUUGGUCCGACACUGACGCUGAGGCGCGAAAGCGUGGGGAGCAAACA
Molecule: ribosomal RNA, 422 nt
Filed under: uncultured bacterium
Lineage: Bacteria
Description: bacterial SSU rRNA
Rfam family: Bacterial small subunit ribosomal RNA
Source: RNAcentral